GGGGAUGUAGCUCAGUGGUAGAGCGCUUGCUUCGCAUGUAAGAGGCCACGGGUUCAAACCCCGUCAUUUCCA
Molecule: transfer RNA, 72 nt
Filed under: Capitella teleta
Lineage: Eukaryota; Metazoa; Annelida; Polychaeta; Capitellidae
Description: tRNA-Ala for anticodon CGC
Rfam family: tRNA
About the family: Transfer RNA (tRNA) molecules are approximately 80 nucleotides in length.
Source: Rfam by way of RNAcentral